AUGUCGAGAUUCUGGAGACCUGGGGCGGAGAAGCCGAGCGCAUCGCUCGUCGACGACGAGGAGGGCGGCGUCCUCUUCCUCCCCACCAACACCAACGCUUCUUCCUCCUCCUCCGGGUUUGGGUGCGCGUCCUUGGAGAGGCUGAGGCAGCGGCUGCCGGUGUACAAGUACCGCAAGGCCAUCCUAUACCUGGUGGAGCGGCAUGCCACGACCAUCAUCGUCGGCGAGACGGGUAGCGGCAAGUCCACGCAGAUCCCUCAGUAUCUUAAGGAGGCUGGUUGGGCUGAGGGUGGUCGACUUAUAGGUUGCACCCAGCCAAGACGAUUGGCCGUGCAGACGGUUGCAUCAAGGGUAGCUGAAGAAGUUGGUGUGAAACUUGGAGAAGAAGUAGGAUAUACAAUAAGAUUUGAGGAUGAAACAAACCCGGGCAUGACCAUGAUCAAAUUUCUCACAGAUGGAGUACUGAUUAGAGAAAUGAUGGAAGAUCCUCUUCUGAGCAAAUAUAGUGUCAUUAUGAUAGAUGAAGCUCAUGAAAGAUCCAUUUCAACCGACAUAUUGCUGGGACUCUUGAAAAAGAUUCAACGCCGUCGGCCGGAGUUACGCCUAAUCAUUUCCUCUGCAACAAUUGAAGCAAGAUCAAUGUCAGCCUUUUUCAGCAAUAGGCGGAAGAAUUCAUUGCUCAAGCCUGCUGAUGAUUUGCCGAACCCAGAACCUGCUAUACUUUCUGUUGAAGGUAGAGGAUAUACAGUAGAAACUCAUUAUCUAGAAGAACCUGUCUCAGACUACUUACAGGCUGCUGUGAAUACUGUUCUUAUUAUUCACGAAAAGGAACCACCUGGGGAUAUUUUGGUGUUUUUAACUGGCCAGGAUGACAUAGAUGCUGCUCUUAAGUUGCUAAAUGAUGAAAUUCAACAUCUGGGAAAACACUAUUUUGAUUUGGUGAUUUUGCCUUUGUACUCCGGCCUUCCGCGGGGAGACCAAGAUCUCAUUUUUGUUCCUACUUCCAAAGGGAAAAGAAAAGUUGUGAUAUCAACAAACAUUGCUGAGACAUCAUUGACUCUGGAGGGCGUGGUGUACGUUGUUGAUAGUGGAUUUUCCAAGCAGAAGUGCUAUAACCCGAUUUCUGACCUCGAGAGUCUAGUUGUCGCACCAAUAUCUAAAGCUUCUGCAAGGCAACGAGCAGGCAGAGCUGGAAGGGUGCGACCUGGGAAAUGCUUUAGGCUUUACACAGAGGAAUAUUACCUAAGUGAAAUGCAGUCAGAUGGCAUUCCAGAAAUGCAAAGGUCUAACCUUGUUUCCUGCAUAAUACAGUUGAAAGCGCUAGGCAUAGACAACAUCUUGGGGUUUGAUUGGCCAGCUUCUCCAUCACCAGAAGCAAUGAUUCGGGCUCUCGAAAUUCUAUUUUCACUAGGAAUCCUUGAUGAAGAUGCCAAACUAACAGUUCCCAUUGGUUUCCAAGUUGCUGAGAUGCCUCUGGACCCCAUGAUCUCAAAAAUGAUCUUGUCAGCAAAUGAUUUUGGAUGCUCUGAUGAGAUAUUGACGAUAGCAGCAUUUCUAUCUGUUCAGUCUGUGUGGGUCUCUAUGCGGGGAGUGAAGAAGGAAUUUGAUGAGGCCAAACUUCGGUUUGCCGCUGCUGAGGGUGAUCAUGUAACAUUCCUGAAUAUCUACAAAGGAUUUCACCAGUCUGGAAAAUCUAGUCAGUGGUGUUACAAGAACUUUUUGAAUCACCAAGCACUGAAGAAGGUCAUUGAAAUCAGGGCACAGCUUGUCAGGGUAGUGAAGAGGUUUGGCAUACAGCUGAAAUCCUGCGACAGAGAUAUGCAGGCAGUUAGAAAGGCCAUUAUUGCUGGUUCGUUUGCUAAUUCAUGUCAUCUGGAGGAAUAUGGCCAGAAUGGAAUGUAUAAAACAAUUAGGACGUCACAAGAAGUUUACAUUCAUCCAUCUUCCGUGCUCUUUAGGGUUAAUCCAAAGUGGGUCGUCUACCAGUCUCUUGUUUCAACUGACAAGCACUAUAUGCGUAAUGUAAUUGCCAUUGAACCAUCAUGGCUUACUGAAGCUGCACCGCAUUUUUACCAGUUCCGAACACCCAAUCCAGCUCCGCAUUAA
Molecule: ribosomal RNA, 2106 nt
Filed under: Triticum aestivum (bread wheat)
Lineage: Eukaryota; Viridiplantae; Streptophyta; Magnoliopsida; Poales; Poaceae
Description: partial small subunit ribosomal RNA
Source: RNAcentral